GAGAUUGUGGCUCAGUGGUAGAGCACUCGCCUUGCACAUGCGGGGCGCUGGGUUGGAUCCUCAACAUCACA
RNAcentral lists this transfer RNA (71 nucleotides) under Marmota monax (woodchuck). RNAcentral describes it as "tRNA.Ala". Lineage: Eukaryota; Metazoa; Chordata; Mammalia; Rodentia; Sciuridae. The record is from RNAcentral.